This 786-nucleotide ribosomal RNA is filed under the name Clostridioides difficile. RNAcentral's name for it is "partial 23S ribosomal RNA". It matches the Rfam family "Bacterial large subunit ribosomal RNA", at positions 751 to 1542 of the family's 2925-position model. The record is from RNAcentral. Lineage: Bacteria; Bacillati; Bacillota; Clostridia; Peptostreptococcales; Peptostreptococcaceae.
CGAAAGUAAAAUUUCGUGGAGGUCCGAACCCACGAGCGUUGAAAAGCUCGGGGAUGACUUGUGGGUAGCGGUGAAAUUCCAAUCGAGCCCGGAGAUAGCUGGUUCUCCCCGAAAUAGCUUUAGGGCUAGCCUCAAGGUGAGAGAUACGGAGGUAGAGCACUGAAUGUCCUAGGGGGUAUUGCACCUACCGAAGACUAUCAAACUCCGAAUGCCGUCAUCUUAUACUUGGGAGUCAGACUGUGGGUGAUAAGAUUCAUAGUCGAAAGGGCAACAGCCCAGAUCGUCAGCUAAGGUCCCUAAAUGUAAGUUAAGUGGUAAAGGAUGUGGGAUUGCACAGACAACCAGGAUGUUGGCUUAGAAGCAGCCACUCAUUCAAAGAGUGCGUAAUAGCUCACUGGUCGAGUGAUCCUGCGCCGAAGAUUUCCGGGGCUAAAACUUACUACCGAAGCUACGGCAUCAGUAAUGAUGGGUAGGGGAGCUUCCCAUACGGGUUGAAGCAUGACCGUAAGGACAUGUGGACAGUAUGGGAGUGAGAAUGUUGGCAUGAGUAGCGAGAUGUGGGUGAGAAUCCCACAGGCCGUAAACCCAAGGUUUCCAGGGGAAGGUUCGUCCGCCCUGGGUUAGUCGGGACCUAAGCUGAGGCCGAAAGGCGUAGGUGAUGGACAACAGGUUGAUAUUCCUGUACUACCGAUAACCGUUUGAGAGAUGGGAUGACACAGUAGGAUAAGCUAAGCACACUGUUGGUUAUGUGUGCCCAAGCAUUGAGGCAGUCAAAGUAGGUAAAUC